Molecule: long non-coding RNA, 3893 nt
Organism: Symphalangus syndactylus (siamang)
Lineage: Eukaryota; Metazoa; Chordata; Mammalia; Primates; Hylobatidae
Source: RefSeq, a predicted model, not a curated record
GUGAACACAGGAGGCCCAGAGAGAAGCAGCGUGACCCCAAGCGCCCAGGCCUCAGCUCCAGGCUGUCAGCACCUUCCGGUAGAGCUCAGGAAGGCUUCGUGAGCGGUGGGCGUUCUAGGAGUGAGGUAGUGGGGCACCCGAGGUCCCCCGUUACAGGGCCCGGAGCGUCUCCAUGGCCCAGGCCCCGCGGUGGAAGACCAGGCCCUACAGAUUCAGGACCACGGCCAGCACCCACACUGCCUUCCAUAAACACUGAGCUAAAUAAACCUAGAGCCUUGGUGAUGAGAUCAGCACUGCCUUUGUAAGUUGGUUUUCUCAACGAACAUCAACUGAACAUCUACUAAACAUAAGGUAGCUGUCCAAGGGAGAGAUUGCUGAAGCUUGGUGGCGGUGAUCGUUGUGCAUUGGCAGUGAAGGUCCAGAAGUUUCUCCAGUUCUUAAGGAAAGGCCGUUGUCACAGUGGUGGUGGGAGGCACCUGAUUUCCUUGACACCUACUUUACACCAGAUGCUGAGAGCUGGUGCCAUCUAUAGAUUUCCAUUCUGGGAGAGGUUUCUCUUUUGUCCUACUUUGCAUCAGACCUGCUGUCGUGAGGAUAAGAGCGCCCAGGAGACACUUCCCUGCAGUUUAAUAGGCUAUGAAAGAUGGGGACUCAUUAACUGGCUGGCAGCUGCCCCUAAGCAGGACGCUGCCUGGAGGUGGGGGAAGAAAGGGAAGGAAGGCCGAGGAGGAGGCAGGCUCCAUCCACUAGACCACCACCGGCUGCCCAAGGGAAUCCCCAAGGCAAACAGCACUACCUCCUGGAGGAUCCCACAAGUGAAGUCUGAACGAGAGUAUGACUAUCCAGUGACAGAAACUUAAACCUCCUUCUGGAGGAGCAGGCUCUGGGUUACUGUUUUUCUUUUUUGACUUAAAACAACCCUUCCUGAGAUAUUAUCUACCCACCUAAUUAUUUUCAGAUUGCCGAAAUGUUACUUUUUCUGUCAUUCCCAUACUAUGUUCUCAUCGAUUUUAUUACAGUACCCAUCCCUGUUACACUGGUGCGUUUAUUUAUAACUGAUGCUCCCUUUUCGAGUCUCGAUUAGGAUGGUCCUAGCCACCCUUAGGUAAAGCCAAGCUGCAGCCUGGCAUGCAAAGCCUCCUGAUUUGGCCCUGCCACCUCCCAUCCUCAUCUUUUCACCUUCCCAUCCAAACUUAGGCCACACUAUUUAUACGCUGUCCCUGCUCACAACGUCUUAACAUUUUCACAGCUUUGCAUGCACUGUUUCCUCUGCCUGGAACAGCUUCCUUGCCUCAGCCUUUUCCCUUGGCUCAGCUCUGGCCAUCUUUGCAGACUCAGGCUCACAGGUCCUCUUUGUGGGGUCUUGAAUCCCAAAUAUCCCAUCUGCCCUCUUAAUUGGAGGUCUCACAGCUUGUGGUCCCUUCCCUCUACUCAACCCUCAGCUCACUCUUCUGUUAACACUCUGUGUCUCCCAUUUAGUAUAGUGGAUGGUAAAUGUUCUUUGAAUAAAUCAAGAACACUGCUUCCAGCCCCCACAUAGCCUGGAUUUACCAGAUCAACAGAAUGAAAUUCAACCAGUGCCUCCUGAAUCAGGAGCCAGCACAUCACCUCUUACCUUUAUGGUUUUGGUCUGGAGUCUGAGUCCAUUUAAAGUGUUGAUGGCUUUCUCUGCAUCCUUUGGAUCAAUAUAGUUAACAAAUCCAUACCCUAAACUCUGUCCUGUGGAAAUAUUAAAAAGAGAGAGAGAAAGGGAGAGAGAGACAGACAGAGAGAAAGAGAGAGAGAGAGCAUGCUCAGUAUCUUUAUAGAGGCAACACUUCCCACUGCAGUGAGUCAAAACUCUCCUUUGGUAUAUAGUUCCUCUUACACCAGGGUUUACCCCCAGAUUGAGAGGUUUCCAAUUCCUCCAACUCUCACUCUCAUUGGCUAUUAAACUUUAGGAGCUGUGCAAGCUAAAACUGGGUAAGUGCCCCUGCACAGCCACACAAGAGAUACACAAGUGUCCACAUAAUCAGGAAGAGGCAGGACAUGGUAGUGGAAAGAGAACAGAUGUGGUUUGUCAGAAGAGACUUAAACUGGAGUCCUAGAGCUUUCCCUAUCAGCUCCGUGACUUUGUAAGGAAGUCAUUUAAUCUCUCUCCCCCUCCCACCUCCAAUCUCUGUUCUGGAGAUAAUAGCACUUACCUCAGGUAGGUUUGAGAGAGUGAGAGAUUGUGCAUAAAAUGCCUACCAAGUACAUUGCCUAGAUUGGAGUAGAUGCUCAACAAAAGACAGCUAUGCUCUGCUCAGGCCUGUAAAAUUGAGGCAAGUGCUGGACACAGUAGCAGUGUCUAUUGCCUCGGUCAUGCCAGCCACACCCACAUUCAGAGGGAUGUAGCAAGAUUUGAGUAGCAAAGACUAGAGAUGUGUAUAGUGAAGGAUGCAGGCAUGGCUAGAAUUUAAAGCAGUUGCUACAAAUCAUUCGUUACCCUCAUCAUCCCCUGAGCCAAAGAACAAUAAAGAAAAAGGAGAGGGGGUUUCUACUGGAAAGAGCUGGGGAGCUCCUAACACGAAGCUAAGAGUGCAAAUACACCCUGAAAAGAGGAUUUAGCUACUUUAGGUGGAGAUGGCAUCAACUUGUCUGCAAAGAGAGGUAGCAAGUGACAGGGCUCCCCCCAAGUGAAAUAAAAAUAAUGUGCUUGCAAUCGUGCCACUGAUUAUAAAUAGUCCAUCAGCUCUGCCAUGUGUCAUCAGCCAGAAAUAUCAUUAGGAAACUACAUUUUCUGACAUACCCUUUAAGAAACACAGAGCUUGGGGUGGCUGCAAAACCAACUUGAACUUCCCAAGCAAUGUUAUUGAUUUGUGGGCGGCAGCAGAGCCGAAGGGGAGGAAAAUGACAGGACGUCACAUGUCAGCAAAGACUGAUUACAUAAAGCUCUCUUUGGAGUACUGGGGCCAGGGCUGGGCGAUAAUACAGCAAAAAGCCUGCCAUGUCCUGGUGACAGGAGCCCAUUUCAGCGGCCAAAAAUUCUUUCCAACAGCUUCUGUUUUGCUGGUAAAUGUCUGUGUUUGUGUUGGUUGUAGGAGGAAACCUGGGAAAACAAGUUGGGUUCUGGAUGAGAAAAUGGGUGACUUUGUUAUAGGAUGGAGCAAAGAGAAUUACAAGAAAGCUCAAUGGCAUUUGACCCCAAAUGGAAAACCCAAAAUGACAACACCUUCCAUUAGGAUAUUCCUUUGUUUUGGAAGAACAGGGUGAGAAGAAGAAAGACAGGGGCAAACUUUACCAGACAUGCCCUUCACCAGCCAGGAUUAGUAACUGAAGAGGAAGGAGAGAAUGCUGGGUGCACUCCAGCUGCUGGGACCCUUCUCUUUCCAACUCACUGUACCUUUGCUUCUGGAGGAAGGAAAAUACAUUCAAGUCCUAGGAAGAUUCUGAAGGUCAAAUGAGGGAAAGGAGCCCUGCCCAGCAAGAUGUAUCAUGUCAAGCCACCCGCUUGUAUCAGUCCCAAAUCCACCAUCACCUUAGUUCCUGACUGCAAUUAGCACAACUGUGUUAUCACCUGCUCUAGCUUUAGAGCGAGAUUGCAUUUAACAUCAAGAAUGAAGGUGCUUUUGGGAAAACGAAAAAAAAAAAAAACAACAGAUGAACAUCAUUUCAGAAAGGAAAAGGAAAAAAAGAUGAUGAUUCUCCUUGAUAUAAAAUAAUGAACUGCAAGCUCUAAAACAGAACAUUGCAUUGAACAAGAGGAGGACAGAGGCAGAAAAACUUGCCUGUGAAUUGAAAGAUAUGAGAUAGUCUGGCACCACAGUGAAACUACCUGUGGUUAGCCUAGUUCAUGAACAGAUUUUCUUAACAUGCUUCUCACCAUCAUAGGAGUUCAGCUAAGUCUAAUAAAAAAUACUCUAUGGAUCUAA